RNAcentral lists this ribosomal RNA (253 nucleotides) under uncultured bacterium. Its description in RNAcentral is "partial 16S ribosomal RNA". It matches the Rfam family "Bacterial small subunit ribosomal RNA", at positions 524 to 776 of the family's 1533-position model. The record is from RNAcentral.
UACAGAGGGUGCAAGCGUUAAUCGGAAUUACUGGGCGUAAAGCGUGCGUAGACGGUUGCGUAAGUCAGAUGUGAAAGCCCCGGGCUCAACCUGGGAAUUGCAUUUGAGACUGCGUAGCUAGGGUGCGGAAGAGGGAAGCGGAAUUUCCGGUGUAGUGGUGAAAUGCGUAGAUAUCGGAAGGAACACCAGUGGCGAAAGCGGCUUCCUGGUCCAGCACCGACGUUCAGGCACGAAAGCGUGGGGAGCAAACAGG